Stomoxys calcitrans (stable fly) is the source of this 648-nucleotide long non-coding RNA. RefSeq lists it as uncharacterized. The record is from RefSeq and is a predicted model, not a curated record. The transcript is spliced from 3 exons. Lineage: Eukaryota; Metazoa; Arthropoda; Insecta; Diptera; Muscidae.
AAAUCGUUUACUGUUAACUCAAAUAAUACUACAAAAUUGUCUAGUUUUUAAAUCACAUAACUUUUCCUUUGUCAAUCAAUAAUUGUUUGGAGUUUUAGAGAAAUCACUUAAUCUGAAAAAUUUCUUGUAAAUCUAAAAUUUUUGUUCAAUUCCCCCAGAAAAUGUAAGGAGAGUUGCCUACAUACACAAAGACUGCCAUACACAUACGAUUAAUGGUCUGACUAGGCAAUGAGUUGAGAUUUGGACCAAUUAAAACGUAAAUAAGUCAAAAGACAAGUCAAAGCAAAAGAAAAAAAAAACGCUCACAUAAGGCAAACAAAAAACAACAACAUUAUACAACGCCAUAGUUAAGUACAAUAAUAAGAGUGGGGAUUUUGGGAAACACAAGAAAAGCGCCUCUAAAUAAACAAACAACAAUAGCAACAAAACCAAACACACACAGCCACCAACAGAAACUAGAAAAGCGAAUCAAUACGCCACCGUGAUCACCGUUAUUUAAUAAGAUCUUAGGUGAGCAAGUGAGACUGGGAAAGAGAAAGAGAGCGAGCGCGAGAGAGCGAAAGAAAAUGUUUGCAGCCUAGGCCGGCCUGCCAAAAGUUAGUGUUAUGUCCAAGGCUGAGUGGGUGUUUGGGUGUAUGUGUGUGUGUG